GAUUUCUGAAUUCAAAGUUUUUAAUCGGCUACGGUUUCGUAUGUUAGUAUUAGAAUAACUUUAUUCAUCCUUCCAUUGUUGCUGUCUCACUCUUCUUCAUUGAUGUGGUGUGGACGGUCAUGGAUCUUUUACUUUGAACAAAUUAGAGUGUUUCAAGCAGGCGUUACUUGCUAUGAAUACAUUAGCAUGGAAUAAUAAUUUAGGACUUCGGUGUCUAUUUUGUUGGUUUCUAGUACUGAAGUAAUGAUUGAUAGGGAUAGUUGGGGGUGCUAGUAUUCAGCGGCCAGAGGUGAAAUUCUUGGAUUCGCUGAAGACUAACUUAUGCGAAAGCAUU
RNAcentral lists this ribosomal RNA (334 nucleotides) under Sandonidae sp. RNAcentral's name for it is "SSU rRNA". It matches the Rfam family "Eukaryotic small subunit ribosomal RNA", at positions 623 to 955 of the family's 1831-position model. Lineage: Eukaryota; Cercozoa; Glissomonadida; Sandonidae. The record is from RNAcentral.